This 253-nucleotide ribosomal RNA is filed under the name uncultured bacterium. RNAcentral's name for it is "partial 16S ribosomal RNA". It matches the Rfam family "Bacterial small subunit ribosomal RNA", at positions 524 to 776 of the family's 1533-position model. The record is from RNAcentral.
AACGUAGGUGACGAGCGUUAUCCGGAGUUACUGGGCGUAAAGGGUGUGUAGGCGGUCUGUUAAGUCUGGCGUGAAAGCUCUCGGCUAAACCGGGAGAGGUCGUUGGAUACUGACACACUAGAGGAUGGUAGAGGCGUGUGGAAUUCCGGGUGUAGUGGUGAAAUGCGUAGAGAUCCGGAGGAACACCAGUGGCGAAGGCGACACGCUGGGCCAUACCUGACGCUAAAGCGCGACAGCAUGGGGAGCAAACGGG